UAUGCCCCUAGAGGCGUUACAUGCAUGACUUGCAAUGUCGUGUGUGUGUCAUUAGGUGGCAGAGAGCAACAGGCUACAUCUACGUUCUGUGUUCAGAAACUACUGACUCGCAGAAUGAUUAAUAGCCUGACAAG
Protopterus annectens (West African lungfish) is the source of this 134-nucleotide small nucleolar RNA. RefSeq annotates it as small nucleolar RNA SNORA17. Lineage: Eukaryota; Metazoa; Chordata; Ceratodontiformes; Protopteridae. The transcript has a single exon. The record is from RefSeq and is a predicted model, not a curated record.